GGGGCGUAGCUCAGUUGGGAGAGCGUUUGACUGGCAGUCAAGAGGUCAUGGGUUCGAUCCCCACCGUCUCC
This 71-nucleotide transfer RNA is filed under the name uncultured Agathobaculum sp. It matches the Rfam family "tRNA". Rfam says of the family: Transfer RNA (tRNA) molecules are approximately 80 nucleotides in length. Their secondary structure includes four short double-helical elements and three loops (D, anti-codon, and T loops). Lineage: Bacteria; Bacillati; Bacillota; Clostridia; Eubacteriales; Butyricicoccaceae. The record is from RNAcentral.